RNAcentral lists this long non-coding RNA (364 nucleotides) under Elaeis guineensis (African oil palm). Its description in RNAcentral is "long non-coding RNA (EGUI_LNC039813)". The record is from RNAcentral. Lineage: Eukaryota; Viridiplantae; Streptophyta; Magnoliopsida; Arecales; Arecaceae.
UGUCUAUCUUCUAUGCUUCAAUCUGAAGGACCAAAAUUUAUAUUCAUAAAGAGAACUUAGACAUUGCAUAACAAUUUAAUCAACUUUAAAUAUCCAUAAUCAAUCAAGAUCCAAAUUCUACCCUACUCUCACUAACCUAAGUUCUCAUGAUCUUUAGCCUAAGCUCAAUACCAUUUUGUCACACUCUAAAUCCAGUAUCCAAAUUGGGUACGUGAUGGUUGCACACUCCUUAAAAAAGAUCUUAAAAAAUAUGUCAGGUCAAGCAUAUUUUUUAGAGUCUUGCCCUAAGGAGUGUGCGGCCAUCACGUGCCUAAUUUGGAUGCUAGAUUUGGGGCGUGAUACUAUAUACUUUGCCUGAUGUGGA